GUGCUUGCUUUGACAGCUCAUAUACUAAAAUUGGAACGAUACAGAAUAGAUUAGCAUGGCCCCUGAGUAAUGAUGACACGCAAAUUCGUGAAGAGUUCCAUAUGUUU
This 107-nucleotide small nuclear RNA is filed under the name Salvator merianae (Argentine black and white tegu). The record is from RNAcentral. Lineage: Eukaryota; Metazoa; Chordata; Lepidosauria; Squamata; Teiidae.